Molecule: ribosomal RNA, 484 nt
Filed under: uncultured bacterium
Lineage: Bacteria
Description: partial 16S ribosomal RNA
Rfam family: Bacterial small subunit ribosomal RNA
Source: RNAcentral
AUUGAACGCUGGCGGCAGGCCUAACACAUGCAAGUCGAGCGGCUGAAGGGAGCUUGCUCCUGGGUUCAGCGGCGGACGGGUGAGUAAUGCCUAGGAAUCUGCCUGGUAGUGGGGGAUAACGUCCGGAAACGGGCGCUAAUACCGCAUACGUCCUGAGGGAGAAAGUGGGGGAUCUUCGGACCUCACGCUAUCAGAUGAGCCUAGGUCGGAUUAGCUAGUUGGUGGGGUAAAGGCCUACCAAGGCGACGAUCCGUAACUGGUCUGAGAGGAGGAUCAGUCACACUGGGACUGAGACACGGGCCAGACUCCGACGGGAGGCAGCAGUGGGGAAUAUUGGACAAUGGGGGAAAGCCUGAUCCAGCCAUGCCGCGUGUGGGAAGAAGGUCUUCGGGUUGUAAAGCACUUUUAGUUGGGAGGAAGGGCAGUGAGUUAAUACCUUGGUGGGUUGACGGUACCAACAGAAUAAGCACCGGCUAACUUCGUG